UACGUAGGGUGCAAGCGUUGUCCGGAAUUAUUGGGCGUAAAGAGCUCGUAGGCGGUUUGUCGCGUCUGGUGUGAAAAUCCAGGGCUUAACCCUGGACCUGCAUCGGGUACGGGCAGACUAGAGUGCGGUAGGGGAGAUCGGAAUUCCUGGUGUAGCGGUGAAAUGCGCAGAUAUCAGGAGGAACACCGGUGGCGAAGGCGGAUCUCUGGGCCGUAACUGACGCUGAGGCGCGAAAGCUAGGGGAGCAAACGGG
Molecule: ribosomal RNA, 253 nt
Filed under: uncultured bacterium
Lineage: Bacteria
Description: partial 16S ribosomal RNA
Rfam family: Bacterial small subunit ribosomal RNA
Source: RNAcentral